UACGAAGGGGGCUAGCGUUGUUCGGAAUUACUGGGCGUAAAGCGCACGUAGGCGGAUAUUUAAGUCAGGGGUGAAAUCCCAGAGCUCAACUCUGGAACUGCCUUUGAUACUGGGUAUCUUGAGUAUGGAAGAGGUAAGUGGAAUUCCGAGUGUAGAGGUGAAAUUCGUAGAUAUUCGGAGGAACACCAGUGGCGAAGGCGGCUUACUGGUCCAUUACUGACGCUGAGGUG
Molecule: ribosomal RNA, 230 nt
Filed under: uncultured bacterium
Lineage: Bacteria
Description: partial 16S ribosomal RNA
Rfam family: Bacterial small subunit ribosomal RNA
Source: RNAcentral